RNAcentral lists this ribosomal RNA (1855 nucleotides) under Clostridioides difficile. RNAcentral describes it as "bacterial LSU rRNA". It matches the Rfam family "Bacterial large subunit ribosomal RNA", at positions 982 to 2856 of the family's 2925-position model. Lineage: Bacteria; Bacillati; Bacillota; Clostridia; Peptostreptococcales; Peptostreptococcaceae. The record is from RNAcentral.
AGUCAGACUGUGGGUGAUAAGAUUCAUAGUCGAAAGGGCAACAGCCCAGAUCGUCAGCUAAGGUCCCUAAAUGUAAGUUAAGUGGUAAAGGAUGUGGGAUUGCACAGACAACCAGGAUGUUGGCUUAGAAGCAGCCACUCAUUCAAAGAGUGCGUAAUAGCUCACUGGUCGAGUGAUCCUGCGCCGAAGAUUUCCGGGGCUAAAACUUACUACCGAAGCUACGGCAUCAGUAAUGAUGGGUAGGGGAGCUUCCCAUACGGGUUGAAGCAUGACCGUAAGGACAUGUGGACAGUAUGGGAGUGAGAAUGUUGGCAUGAGUAGCGAGAUGUGGGUGAGAAUCCCACAGGCCGUAAACCCAAGGUUUCCAGGGGAAGGUUCGUCCGCCCUGGGUUAGUCGGGACCUAAGCUGAGGCCGAAAGGCGUAGGUGAUGGACAACAGGUUGAUAUUCCUGUACUACCGAUAACCGUUUGAGAGAAGGGAUGACACAGUAGGAUAAGCUAAGCACACUGUUGGUUAUGUGUGCCCAAGCAUUGAGGCAGUCAAAGUAGGCAAAUCCGCUUUGAUAAUGCUGGGAUGUGAUGGGGAGCGAAAUUUAGUAGCGAAGUAGCUGAUUUCACACUGUCAAGAAAAGUCUCUAUCGAGGUUAAAGGUACCCGUACCGCAAACCGACACAGGUGGGUGAGGAGAGUAUCCUAAGGCCAGCGAGAGAACUGUUGUUAAGGAACUCGGCAAAAUGACCCCGUAACUUAGGGAUAAGGGGUGCCACCAUCAGGUGGCCGCAGAGAAUAGGCCCAAGCGACUGUUUACCAAAAACAUAGGUUUCUGCUAAGUCGCAAGACGAUGUAUAGGAGCUGACGCCUGCCCGGUGCUGGAAGGUUAAGGGGAUCUGUUAGAGCAAUCGAAGCAGUGAACUUAAGCCCCAGUAAACGGCGGCCGUAACUAUAACGGUCCUAAGGUAGCGAAAUUCCUUGUCGGGUAAGUUCCGACCCGCACGAAAGGCGUAACGAUUUGGGCACUGUCUCAACAACAGACUCGGUGAAAUUGUAAUUCCGGUGAAGAUGCCGGAUACCUGCGACAGGACGGAAAGACCCCAUGGAGCUUUACUGUAGCUUGACAUUGGGUCUUGGUACUACAUGUACAGGAUAGGUGGGAGGCUUUGAAACCAGGACGCCAGUUUUGGCGGAGCCAUCCUUGGGAUACCACCCUUGUAGUACUGGGACUCUAACCAUAGGCCAUGAAUCUGGUCUUGGGACACUGUCAGGUGGGCAGUUUGACUGGGGCGGUCGCCUCCCAAAAGGUAACGGAGGCGCUCAAAGGUUCUCUCAGUACGGUCGGAAAUCGUACGUAGAGUGUAAAGGCAAAAGAGAGCUUGAUUGCAAGACAUACAGGUCGAGCAAGGAUGAAAAUCGGACUUAGUGAUCCGGUGGUUCUGCGUGGAAGGGCCAUCGCUCAACGGAUAAAAGCUACCCUGGGGAUAACAGGCUUAUCUCCCCCAAGAGUCCACAUCGACGGGGAGGUUUGGCACCUCGAUGUCGGCUCAUCACAUCCUGGGGCUGUAGUAGGUCCCAAGGGUUGGGCUGUUCGCCCAUUAAAGUGGUACGCGAGCUGGGUUCAGAACGUCGUGAGACAGUUCGGUCCCUAUCCGUCGCAGGCGUAGGAAAUUUGAGAAGACCUGUCCUUAGUACGAGAGGACCGGGAUGGACGUACCUCUGGUGUACCAGUUGUCCUGCCAAGGGCAUGGCUGGGUAGCUAUGUACGGAAUGGAUAAGCGCUGAAAGCAUCUAAGCGCGAAGCCAACUUCAAGAUAAGAUUUCCCACCGCAAGGGUAAGACCCCAGAAAGACUAUCUGGUUGA